UACGUAGGGGGCAAGCGUUGUCCGGAUUUAUUGGGCGUAAAGAGCGUGUAGGCGGCCAGGUAGGUCUGCUGUGAAAACUCGAGGCUUAACCUCGAGAUGUCGGCGGAAACCAUCUGGCUAGAGUCCGGAAGAGGAGAAUGGAAUUCCCGGUGUAGCGGUGAAAUGCGCAGAUAUCGGGAAGAACACCCGUGGCGAAGGCGGUUCUCUGGGCCAUUACUGACGCUGAGGAGCGAAAGCGUGGGGAGCGAACAGG
RNAcentral lists this ribosomal RNA (253 nucleotides) under uncultured bacterium. RNAcentral describes it as "partial 16S ribosomal RNA". It matches the Rfam family "Bacterial small subunit ribosomal RNA", at positions 524 to 776 of the family's 1533-position model. The record is from RNAcentral.